AGGGAUUGAACUUCAAGCAGAGGCUCUGGGCUGGACUAGUGCACCCUUUCAAGUAACUGCUCCCGAAGACGAUCUGUGGUUUCUGUCUCGUGGGAGGACCUUCGUGGUACCAAGCACCACACAUGACUUAAUGAAUAAGGCUUCCAAAUGACAAAGAAUCUAUCCCAAACUAUCAUCACAUCCUUUCUGCUAAGCCAGAGGCAGGCAGGUGAUGCCAUUGAAGCUGACAGAGUCAAGGCCUGUCUGUGUUGUUGACAGGAGCCCUCUUCAUGACAGUCUGGGAUUCCUCCUACCCAUAGUACAUGACACUCCCUGCAGUUGCUGAUCCAAAGAGCACACCUUGGGGACACUGAUCUGAGAGAAUUGUUCAGACUGCCUGCUCACUGUCAUU
RNAcentral lists this long non-coding RNA (391 nucleotides) under Cricetulus griseus (Chinese hamster). RNAcentral describes it as "lncRNA (ENSCGRG00000026547.1)". The record is from RNAcentral. Lineage: Eukaryota; Metazoa; Chordata; Mammalia; Rodentia; Cricetidae.